UCGGGGGUGGUGUAAUUGGCAGCACGUCAGCCUUUGGAGCUGAAAGCCCGAGUUCGACCCUCGGCCCCCGAG
Molecule: transfer RNA, 72 nt
Filed under: Actinomycetes bacterium
Lineage: Bacteria; Bacillati; Actinomycetota; Actinomycetes
Also listed under: 1 other name
Description: Actinobacteria bacterium tRNA-Gln
Rfam family: tRNA
About the family: Transfer RNA (tRNA) molecules are approximately 80 nucleotides in length.
Source: RNAcentral